RNAcentral lists this long non-coding RNA (727 nucleotides) under Rhinopithecus bieti (black snub-nosed monkey). RNAcentral's name for it is "lncRNA (ENSRBIG00000045776.1)". The record is from RNAcentral. Lineage: Eukaryota; Metazoa; Chordata; Mammalia; Primates; Cercopithecidae.
GACACAUAGGAGGUGCACAGAAAAUCCUUGCUAUCAGAAUGAAUGAAAGGGGAGAAUGAAGUCCAGGUCAUAGCUCCUUGGAGUCACCAACAAACAUACCUUCUCCUUCUCCUGAUUAUUUUACAUGGAAUCUCACCUGGAUAAUGAAAGACUCCUUCCCUUUCCUGUCUCAUCGCAGCCGAUAUGGUCUGGAGUGCAGCUUUGACUUCCCCUGUGAGCUGGAAUAUUCCCCUCCACUGCAUGACCUCAGGAACCAGAGCUGGUCCUGGCGCCGUGUUCCCUCUGAGGAGGCCUCCCAGAUGGACUUGCUGGAUGGGCCUGAGGCAGAGCGUUCUAAGGAGAUGCCCAGAGGCUCCUUUCUCCUCCUCAACACCUCAGCCGACUCCAAGCACACCAUCCUGAGUCCAUGGAUGAGGAGCAGCAGUGAGCACUGUACGCUGGCCGUCUCAGUGCACAGGCACCUGCAGCCCUCUGGAAGGUACAUCGCCCAGCUGCUGCCCCACAACGAGGCUGCAAGAGAGAUCCUCCUGAUGCCCACCCCAGGGAAGCAUGGUAUCUUCCAGGGACCAAGAAGAAAAGACGAAACACAAGAAAACAGAAAAAUCUGGGUCAAUGUGUUACAUGUUCAUGAUAGGCUUCGUCAGCUUGAGUCCUGGCUUUCUCUCUGAUUGAGUAACUUUGGGCAGAACUACUGGACCAAACUGAAGUCAUCAAACUUGGGCUAAGC